This 747-nucleotide ribosomal RNA is filed under the name hot springs metagenome. RNAcentral describes it as "bacterial SSU rRNA". It matches the Rfam family "Archaeal small subunit ribosomal RNA", at positions 716 to 1467 of the family's 1478-position model. The record is from RNAcentral.
GGAGCAAACCGGAUUAGAUCCCCGGGUAGUCCCAGCCGUAAACGAUGUGGAUUGGGUAUUGCAGGUGCUUAGGGCUCCUGCAGUGCCGAAGGGAAACCGUUAAAUCCACCACCUGGGGAGUACGGUCGCAAGGCUGAAACUUAAAGGAAUUGGCGGAGGAGCACCACAAGGGGUGGAGUCUGCGGUUUAAUUGGAUACAACACCAGACAACUCACCAGGGGCGACGGCAGGAUGAUAGUCAGACUGAAGAUCUUGCUUGACGAGCCGAGAGGUAGUGCAUGGCCACCGUCAGCUCGUACCGUGAGGCGUGCCCUUAAGUGGGCUAACGAGCGAGACCCAUACCUUCAUUUGCUACCAUUCAUUUUUGAAUGGGCACCAUGAAGGGACCGCUGGUGAUAAACCAGAGGAAGGAAUGGGCGAUGAUAGGUCAGUAUGCUCCGAAUCCCCUGGGCUACACGUGGGCUACAAUGGCAUGAACAAUGGGUUGCAACUCCGAAAGGAGAAGCCAAUCCCCUAAAUCAUGCCUCAGUUCGGAUUGAGGGUUGCAACUCACCCUCAUGAAGGUGAAAUCCCUAGUAACCGUAAGUUAUCAGCUUGCGGUGAAUAUGUCCCCGCUCCUUGUACACACCGCCCGUCAAGCCAAUCGAGUAGGCAUGAUGUGAGGUGCUACCAUUAGGUAGUAUCGAACAUCAUGUCUGCGAGAAGGGCUAAGUCGUAACAAGGUAGCCGUAGGGGAAUCUGCGGCUG